GAUUUCUGGCGUGGUGCCUCCUGUCCGCCACCGACAGGUGCGUGAGUACGGGAGCCGUGCCUGCCAUCCUUCCAGGGAGCGCGUCUGCCCUUCACUGGGUCGGCCGCGCGACCUGGAUCGUUUACUUUGAAAAAAUUAGAGUGUUUAAAGCAGGCGUUCGCUUCUGAAUACAUUAGCAUGGAAUAAUGAAAUAGGACUUUGGUUCUAUUUUGUUGGUUUCUAGGACUGAAGUAAUGAUUGAUAGGGACAGUUGGGGGUGCUAGUAUUCAGCGGCCAGAGGUGAAAUUCUUGGAUUCGCUGAAGACUAACUUAUGCGAAAGCAUU
Molecule: ribosomal RNA, 324 nt
Filed under: Mesofila sp.
Lineage: Eukaryota; Cercozoa; Mesofilidae
Description: SSU rRNA
Rfam family: Eukaryotic small subunit ribosomal RNA (bases 111-324)
Source: RNAcentral